Molecule: long non-coding RNA, 2053 nt
Filed under: Equus asinus (donkey)
Lineage: Eukaryota; Metazoa; Chordata; Mammalia; Perissodactyla; Equidae
Description: lncRNA (ENSEASG00005027014.1)
Rfam family: mir-1247 microRNA precursor family (bases 386-459)
Source: RNAcentral
CCCCCGCCGCUGCCCGAGGCAGCCGUGCGCCGCCCCAGCCCGCGCAGCCCCGGCCGCGCCCGCCCCGUCCCAUCGCGCCCCUACUCGGCGCCGCUGUUCUCAGGUCGGCAGCCUCCGGGGCGCAGCGGGGAGGUGAGGAGGGUAGGGACCGCGGGCCGGCCAGCGCCCGGCGCCGGAGACGGGGAGCGCUGGGGAAAGCAGCGCCUUCCUUGCGCGCAGGGGACCCGGGAGCGCAGCGGGCGCGGGGCGCCGCGGGGCGCGGGGCGCGGGGCAGCGGGCGCGGGGCGGCGGCGGCCCCGGGCGGCUCUCCCACUAGGGGUAGCUGUUGCCUGAACGCCGGAGCGCUCCCCUCUCGCCGCUCGUCUCGCACGGCGCGGCCCCGGCCGCCGGGCGCACCCGUCCCGUGCGUCCCCGGACGUUGCUCUCUGCCCCGGGAACGUCGAGACUGGAGCGCCCGAGCUGAGCCACCUUCGCCGACCCCGAGCGCUGCGGCCCGACUCACCGCGGCGGCGCCCGGACGCGUAAAUGGGCGAUUUCUCUGCUGCCUGGGGCGGGGGCGCCGGGGGCUACCCAGCCCGGAAACUCCCCGCAGAGGAAGGCCAGCCUGGGCCUCGCUCUUCUCAGCGCGCACAUUGCCCCUCACCCCGCUGGGUAGGGGUCUUUCAGCACCUGCCCACGCUGCCUCCAGCCCGAGCUCAGGAGAGCCGCGCUUGUCCUUAGGGCCGCCAGCUGCUCUGGGGGAUCUGCUUCUGCUGUUUGGGCUGACAGCCUCCGCCCCACACCUCCGGAUUCCAGAACAUCGGUCAAGGUGCUCAGGACCAUCUGUGCAGAGCAACUCCUGGAGCCCAGAGAGGUUGGUGCUGGGCCCCCCUGCGGGAGGAGAUGGGCCAGCCCUCACACCUGGCGGAGAGUGUGGCAGAACUGCAGAGUCGUGUUUGAAAAGCCACUCUCCUCUCAGGAUGCUGCCCUGCCAAGCAGCUGCCCACAGCUUCUGAGCCACAUCCAAACCGCUUGGCCUGGCCUUCGAGGCCGCCAGGUGGGGCCUCCGCCUCCUGCCCCUGCCCAACCCUGACCCCGCGCUCCAGCCAUGGGAACAUCCGCCACAACCCCAUCGAAUGCCAGGCCCUUCCACGGCCGCUGCCCCCCGCAGGCCUUCGAGGAGCUGUGGCCAUCAGCCUUUCAACGAGGGGUCAGCCGAGGCUUGGGGAAGCGGGCGCCUUGCUCCGCCGACUGUGUCAGGACUUGGACCUGGGUCUUCUGGCUGCAAAGCCAGGCUCUUCACACUGAACCAUAAUUUCUCCACACUUGCUCCAUUGGCUAGUCCACCACCUUUUCUGGAACUCUUUUCCAUCUCGGCUUCCCAAACUCUAGUUGUCCUUCAAGGCUUGGCCCAGAUGUUGCCUCCCCCAGGCAGCCUCCUCAGACUACUUGCCAGAUCACCUCUCUCCUCCCCUUGCAGUCUGCCAUUGCCUUGACCUUGGUUCACCAUAGUCCUGGGGGGGAGGGGAGAUUGUGUUCCAGUGGCAGAGAUUGCUAGUUGCCCCCAAUAUCCAUUAUCCUCUCUUCCUAAAGCAAAAGAAAUGUCAAAUUUGAGUUGGGCACAUGACUGUCCGUUCAAGUUCUUAGCCUCCUUUGCAGCUACAUGUAGCUGUUUGACUAAAUCCUUGCCAAUGACAUGUGACCUGUGAAACCUCUGGGUCCUGCCUCCAGAAGGAAGAGACAUGGCUUCCCCUUCUUCUUCUUUCUGUUUGCACUGCUGCAUGACAGAGGUGAUGGCAGGAGCUGGAGCAGCCAUAUUGACUAUGGGUAGGAGCUGGGUGUUGAGGAUCACAGAGGAACAAGGUAGAAAGAACCUGGGUCACCACCACAUUGGCCUAGACUGCUAAAGCUCAGACUGUUACAUGAGAGAGGGGAAAAAAUACCCUUUGAUCUCAUUUAAUUCAGUGUUAGUUUGGCAUUUGUUAUAGCAGCCAAACUGUAUCCUAAUUAGUACUGACUCAGACUGAGAAGUUGAUUAACUGUUUGCAGAAUGGCUAAGGGAUUACUAACCAGA